Etheostoma spectabile (orangethroat darter) is the source of this 185-nucleotide long non-coding RNA. RefSeq lists it as uncharacterized. Lineage: Eukaryota; Metazoa; Chordata; Actinopteri; Perciformes; Percidae. The transcript has 4 exons. The record is from RefSeq and is a predicted model, not a curated record.
GGAGUAAAAAUAAGCUUUUUAUUUGGGAGAUGUAGUGGAGUAAAAGUCAACAUUUUAUUUAGGAAAUGUAGUGGAGUAAAAGUAAAAGUUUCCGGUGAUAUAAAUAACAAAGUUAAGUACAGAUACGUGAAAAUUCUACUUAUGUACAGUAACAAAGCAUUAGUACUUUGUUGCAUUACAACACU